Molecule: long non-coding RNA, 492 nt
Filed under: Podarcis muralis (Common wall lizard)
Lineage: Eukaryota; Metazoa; Chordata; Lepidosauria; Squamata; Lacertidae
Description: lncRNA (ENSPMRG00000008428.1)
Source: RNAcentral
GAAGCUGAGAGGAAGUGGGGGUUCUGCAGUCACCACAAAAUGUGAAUCCCACAUCAGAGGAAUAUACAGGAUGAUCCACAGAUAAGGAAUCUACAGUCGGCAAAUGGAAGAGGGUGACGGCGCUAGAAACUCAGUUGAGCAGCCCCAAACUAUCCAGAAUGUACACAUAGUAACAACACAGGAAGGGCAGUCUACUCAUCCUUCUGGGAGCCGGAGAACUGCUGCCGAACACCCGGCCGUGGAUUCCCCAUUGCUACCCCAGGUUCCUGUAGGCGAGAAUGUUACUGGGGAGCGAGCGCAAUGCUCUGCGAGAGGAGAACCAGCUAUACAUCUUCCCCCACCCAUUCAGGAUUCGACGCUGGCAACAUGUCAGCACAUUGUUGGUCUCCUUGGACAAAUCACUGAUCAGCAGGACAGCAUCAUGAGAGAACUGCGGGUCAUGCGCAGAGAGAUGCGGCUUUUGAAAGGUGAACAGCGCCGGACCACUGCCAG